RNAcentral lists this ribosomal RNA (403 nucleotides) under bacterium. Its description in RNAcentral is "partial 16S ribosomal RNA". It matches the Rfam family "Bacterial small subunit ribosomal RNA", at positions 355 to 776 of the family's 1533-position model. The record is from RNAcentral.
UGGGGAAUAUUGCACAAUGGGGGAAACCCUGAUGCAGCGACGCCGCGUGAACGAAGAAGGUAUUCGUAUCGUAAAGUUCUGUCCUAUGGGAAGAUAAUGACAGUACCAUAGAAGAAAGCUCCGGCUAAAUACGUGCCAGCAGCCGCGGUAAUACGUAUGGAGCGAGCGUUGUCCGGAAUUAUUGGGCGUAAAGGGUACGCAGGCGGUUUAAUAAGUCGAAUGUUAAAGAUCGGGGGUCAACCCCGUAAAGCAUUGGAAACUGAUAAACUUGAGUAGUGGAGAGGAAAGUGGAAUUCCUAGUGUAGUGGUGAAAUACGUAGAUAUUAGGAGGAAUACCAGUAGCGAAGGCGACUUUCUGGACACAAACUGACGCUGAGGUACGAAAGCGUGGGGAGCAAACAGG